UGGAAUAUAGCCAAGCGGUAAGGCAACGGUUUUUGAUACCGUGAUUCGUAGGUUCGAUCCCUACUAUUCCAA
Molecule: transfer RNA, 72 nt
Filed under: Anaplasmataceae bacterium
Lineage: Bacteria; Pseudomonadati; Pseudomonadota; Alphaproteobacteria; Rickettsiales; Anaplasmataceae
Description: tRNA-Gln
Rfam family: tRNA
About the family: Transfer RNA (tRNA) molecules are approximately 80 nucleotides in length. Their secondary structure includes four short double-helical elements and three loops (D, anti-codon, and T loops). Further hydrogen bonds mediate the characteristic L-shaped molecular structure. tRNAs have two regions of fundamental functional importance: the anti-codon, which is responsible for specific mRNA codon recognition, and the 3' end, to which the tRNAs corresponding amino acid is attached (by aminoacyl-tRNA synthetases). tRNAs cope with the degeneracy of the genetic code in two manners: having more than one tRNA (with a specific anti-codon) for a particular amino acid; and 'wobble' base-pairing, i.e. permitting non-standard base-pairing at the 3rd anti-codon position.
Source: RNAcentral